Molecule: ribosomal RNA, 771 nt
Filed under: uncultured Caldilinea sp.
Lineage: Bacteria; Bacillati; Chloroflexota; Caldilineae; Caldilineales; Caldilineaceae
Description: bacterial SSU rRNA
Rfam family: Bacterial small subunit ribosomal RNA
Source: RNAcentral
UGCGGUGCUACAACUGCAGCUGACGUGAGAGGGUACAUAUCCUUGAAAGUGGCGCACGGGUGAGUAAUACGUAGGUGACUGCCCUGGAGUGGGGGAUAACAACUGGAAACGGUUGCUAAUACCGCAUACUGCUAAGACAUUGGGAAAUGACUUAGUAAAAACUCUGGUGCUUCAGGAGGGGCCUGCGGCCGAUUAGCUAGUUGGCGGGGUAAGAGCCCACCAAGGCAGUGAUCGGUAGCUGGUCUGAGAGGACGAUCAGCCACACGGGAACUGAGACACGGUCCCGACUCCUACGGGGGGCAGCAGUGAGGAAUAUUGGGCAAUGGGCGGAAGCCUGACCCAGCAACGCCGCGUGGAGGAAGACGGCCUUCGGGUUGUAAACUCCUUUUACGGGGGAAGAGGAAGGACGGUACCCCGAGAAUAAGUCACGGCUAACUACGUGCCAGCAGCCGCGGUAAUACGUAGGUGACAAGCGUUAUCCGGAAUUACUGGGCGUAAAGCGCACGCAGGCGGCGCAUUAAGUCUGACGUGAAAUCUCCCGGCUUAACUGGGAGGGGUCGUUGGAGACUGAUGUGCUUGAGGCGGUGAGAGGGGUGUAGAAUUCCCGGUGUAGUGGUGGAAUGCGUAGAUAUCGGGAGGAAUACAGUGGCGAAAGCGGCCCCUGGCACUAGCUGACGCUCAUGUGCGAGGCGUGGGAGCACGGGUUAAUUCCCGUAUCCGCGUAACUGAUACAGGGUAGGGUGAACCCUGGCCGAGAAGCAAAGUUCCCGG